Microcebus murinus (gray mouse lemur) is the source of this 4851-nucleotide non-coding RNA. Lineage: Eukaryota; Metazoa; Chordata; Mammalia; Primates; Cheirogaleidae. The record is from RefSeq and is a predicted model, not a curated record.
CUUUUCCCCAGAACAGGAGGUAAAGUCCUCAAGUGAUGUUUAUUCCUCACCUUGAUAUCUAUAUCUCAUAACUUAAAUAUUAUGAUGUAAAAUUAGCAAUACUUAAAUAAUAUGAUACACAUUUAAUACAGUUUAUGUUACAUGAUAAGGUAAUAAGAGAGAAAAAAUAAAGAUACUUGCUUAAUACAUACAUACAUAUAUAUGUGUGUGUAUAUAUAUAUAUUCACACACUAACAUACACAAAAUAAGGAGGAAAUAAUCCUGACAAUUACAGUCCUCAUCUCUGUAGCUAAUAACAAAGUCACAGCUGGUAAUUAUAAUUACCUUCCUCUACUACAUAUUCUGUAUUCUCUUGCCUUCAGCAAGCCCUUAGCUAGCUGUGGUUCUUUAUUCAGUAAGGAGACUUAAAUCUUCCUUCCUGAAGGGUCUGGCCAUUCAUAGUCCUGCCAGGAUUGGGUUGUUGUAGUUUUCCAUUGACCUUAAUCACAGGACAUGAUAACACAGAGAGAUACCCUAAGGAAUCUCCUGCAUUGCAGACAUAUUCUCUUUUACCUGCAUUGUGGAGUAGUAGUCCAAUUUCCCCUUUCUAGACAGGAUCAAUCACUCCAGCCAGCACAAUAAUUCCCUUCUUUGUUGAUUCAGAGGCACAAGGAACCCAAAGUGGCUGGCAGGAGUCUUAACUUUCAGGUGAAAAAAUCAUUGUUGUGUCUCCUGGUGGAAGCAUUACUCCCUUUGGAACUAAGACCUCUAGGCCAGCAGAGCAUAAAGUUACAGAAAUUGGAAGCAAAAAUGUUGCUUGUGGGUAACUAGGGGUAAUAAUAAGUGAUGCCACUUCCAUUUCCAACCCUUGAUUUCUGGACCCACGAAUCCUGCCUAUGGGAGAAAUAGCACCACAUGUUGGAAGCUGAGUCAGAGCAUAUACAGCCUUCUGGAAAACCUUGCUUCAGUUCUGCAAGGAAUUGCCACCUAGCUGGUGCUGUAACUGAGUCUUCAAAAGGCUAGUCCACUGCUCUGUCAAGCCAGCUGCUUCAAGAUGGUAGGGAAGAUGGUAAAGCAGUGAAUUCCUUGAGCAUAGGCCUUUUGCAUCAUUGCAUUUGCUGUGAAGUGACUUCUUUGAUCAGAAGAAAUGCUGCAUGCAAUACUAUGAUGGUAGAUAAGGUGUUCUGUAAGUCCAUGGAUGAUAGUUUUGGCAGAAGUACUAUAUAUAGGGAAGGCAAAUCCAUAUCUGGAGUAAAUGGCUAUUCCAGUAAGAAUAUGAUCAACUAGCCAAUGCCAUAGGUAUGUGUAAGUCAGACUAUUCUGAUUACUGUUUUGACUCUGCUCCUCAUUACAGUAACUAUGUCCACCUUGCCUUUGGUGGUUGAGUCCCACGACUUGGCUCUCAUCACCCUGGGACCCAAUUACUUUGCGUUUGAGUUUCCCAAUUCAGUGACCACAGUUCCCACUGUAAGGUCUGGCCUACAGGGAAGAGCAAUAACAGAGUUCUUCAAGAAUGCCGGGGAUCCCCUCACAAAUUUAUUUCUCAUUGUCAUAGUAAAAGGGAUAUUUUCUGGACUCUCCCAGGAUGGGUUAUUACAUUUUAAAUGACAAACCCAGUCUAACAUUCCAAACUCCAUAAGCAUUAAAUCCCUUCCCCUACAUUAAACUAAGGCAGUUCCAGUAUUUCCAAUUUACUCACAGUGGCCACCUUUUGGUCCAUUUUCAGCUAACCAAUCAAAUAAACUGUUAGUACCCUUGCUAAUUAUGAGUUGCAACAUUAGAUGCAGACUCUCUGCUUAGUCAGCCCAUAUCAAUAAAUUUGGCUUGAUCCAUCUUCAUGUUCCUUCCACCAUUAUCCCACACCCUUAAUAUACAUUCCCAUCCAUGUUCCCUGGACUUUUAUCAGUAUACAUUAGAAAAUACAAGUAGUUUUUUUAGAGUGUAAUGCAACUCCCCAUUGGUCUCAUUUUUUACUUCACCUUUAGGGGCCUGCUAGGAUCUAAGUCUAAUUACAGAUCGAUAAGCAAACAGAAGUUGUAGGCGUGGGGCCUGAGGAGACUCUGCAUUGUCUGGCAUAGCAACUGCCUUAGAGAAUGCCAUCAGUUUCCACAAGCAAUGCCAGGUUGAUCCUCUCAAGUGGGUGGAGAGGCCACUUUCACUAGGGAUGGGAAGGUCCCUUCCACUGACAAAGAAGGCUCAUCAGAAUUUAGGGACUAAAUGUCCCCAGCCUCAUCAGGGUCUUGCCAUACAUCCUUAUUCCAACUAGUAUUUCAUUCCUUCCCAACUAACUAACUAAUGACUUAGUUUUAAAGGUAAACAACAUACAAGGUUAGUAGUUCAACUUGUAAUUAUGCCAUAGUAUGAGAUUCUGGCUUUUAUUUUAAGCAAUCUCAACCUUGUGAUUACAGGAGAUAAGGGUCUCCCUCAGGGAACACAUAGAAACUUUCAGGUUAUUUAUGUAGCAAUGAGCUGGGAACUCAAAUCCUUGAGCUCAUCCUUUUCUUUCCUUUGUCCAGUGGCAAUAGGACAAGCAAAUAUCAUUAUAUUCAUGAGUUUGCCAAAAAUAUCAUAUAGUCACCUAGAUCUUUGCUUCUUAUAAGUAGGUGAUUAAGAUUAUCCAAUAGUGUUAUUUUGCAUAUCUCUAUUAUCAGAUCACACCAGAACCAUAAUCUGUAUUAGUCAGGGCUCUACAGAAAAAGAGAACCGUGUGUGUGUGUGUGUGUAUGUGUGUGUGUGUGUGUGUGUGUGUGUGUGUGUAAAGAGAUUCAUAAGGAAUUGGCUCAUGUGAUUACAAAGGCUAACAAGUACCAAAAUCUACAGUUGGCUUGCUAGAGAGACCUAGGAGAGCCAAUGGUAUAAUUCUAGUCUAAAUGCUGACAGGCUCCAGAUCCAGAAACAGCUGAUGUUUCAGUUUGAGUCCAAAGGCAGUAAAAAAACUAUCUUCCAGAUCAAAGGCAGGCAGGCAGGAGGAGUUCCCUCUUACUCUUGGAAAGGUCAGGUUUUUUGUUCUAUUCGGGCUCUCAAUUUAUUGGAUGGGACCUACUUAUAAUAGUCUACUGAUUCCACUAUCAAUAUCAUCCAGAAGCACCCUCACAGACACACCUAGAAUAAUGUUUGACUAAAUGUCUGGGCAUCUGUGGCCCAGUUAAGUUGACAUGUAAAAUUAACCAUCAUGGAUACUAAUUAGCUUUUAAUAUUAAGUAAUACAUGUACAUUAUUUAUAUGAGAAAUUCUGAUUGAUUGACAUAUUCAAAAUUACAAGGGCUAAUAUUAUCAAUUAGCAUUACUUUCGAUUCAUCAUAUAUCUUUCUUUAACUACAAAAUAAGAUUUUUUUCUCAUUCUAUAUAAUAAAUCAUUAUGGACUUUCAUUUAAGCUAAAGAACUUCAUCUCAGGGACAUUCUAAAGUAUUUUAAAUAUGAAAAAAUCUGAGUAAGUUUUGUUCAUCUGUAUAUGUUUUUGAAUUAUCAUCUAAAAUGAUAUUUUACUAAUUAACUUAAUAAUAGAGCAAAAACCAUUUGAUCUGUGAAAAUUUGGUUUUUUAAAGCAAUGAAUUUUAGUUAGGUUGGUAAAAUACAUUUGCUGUAAAGUUACCUCAGAUGCCUAGUGCUUUACCUCAUGUUGUGACAUCAUAGUCAAUGUUACUGCAUGUGGAAACAAUUAAUGAAAUGCCUUCAUAUUACGCUCUUUAAUUUGAUUAAAUUAAAGCUAACUGACUAAUUUUACAUUAUUUAUAUUUCUUGAUUUCCUUCUUUCUUUGUCUAUACCAUAGCUUUCAUAUUAAUUAUUCCAUUUUUAUCAGAAAUGAAGUAAUAAAAAUAUAAAUGCUUACUACCUAAAUUGUUUAAAAAGCUAUUUGCAGGUACCUGUAAAAUCCAAUCAUGAUAAAUACAUAAAGAAUACAUGAAAAAUGACUCAACUAAUGACUCAACUAAUUACUCAACUAAUUAAUACACUUAAAAUAAAAGUGAAGACUACCAGAAGAAGACCAGCAAAAUGAGGCAGCCAGUGUGCCUCUCUUCAGAGAACAAUCAGGAUAGCCAUCAAAUACACAUAUGUCAAAUAUAUCAUCAGAGAAAGAAGCUUGAAGAUAACAGAUAGGUGACAGGAAGACACUGAGGGUGAAGGUAGAGGCCGAACUGUCUGCUUGGGACCACUGAGAGCCUUGAGAAGCCUGCAGACUCACACCCAGGGAAGCGAUCAUCACAGAAGCCUCCUGGCCAGUAUUUUGCUUCUAAGUGGACUCUACCAGCCAGGGUGAUCUAUCUAAAAAUCAAAUCCUAUCAUGCUAUUCUCUUGGUAAAUUUCUUCAAUACAUCCCUACAAAUUGCUGGAUAAAGUUCAGUCUCCUCAGCUUUGAGGAAGUAAGCUUCUCUGAAUUCUACAACUGCAAGGAACUAAAUGCUGCCAACAACCACAUCAGUAGGGCAGUGGCUUCUUCCCCAUUUGAGUUCUCCAGAUGAAUACCUCAUCCUGGCUCACAGUAUGACUUCAGCUUAUGAGACACUAAGCAGAAUAAUAUGCUAAAAUGUGUCACCUGGCCCUCUUCACAACACCCUUGUUGGAAAUGGAGCUUGGAGAACGAGUGCAAAGAAAUGCUGAUUCUCUGGUUAUUGCCAUAGCUGUGAAUACUAAAGUCCUUUUUCUCUGACCCAGGAGUCUUGUGUCUUCUGUCAGCAUCUAUUAUAUCAAACUGCAGCUAGCUUGCAAAUAGGGUAGAAUAUCAGAUCUGUUACAGUUCUUGAUAAUAUUAUGCUGUAAUUGCUUUUUUCUCAAAACCCAAAUAUCACGUUGGAGUAUAAGUUCUUUGGAUCACAGAUGUAUUUAUUGUAUCUCUAGCACUUACCACAAUGCUUGGUAAAAUAAUCACUUG